AGCACGGUGGUAGCAAUAUCAUGGGUGGCGAGUGGCGGACGGGUGAGGAAUACAUCGGAAUCUACCUUUUUGUGGGGGAUAACGUAGGGAAACUUACGCUAAUACCGCAUACGUCCUACGGGAGAAAGCGGGGGAGCGCAAGCGCCUCGCGCGGAAAGAUGAGCCGAUGUCCGAUUAGCUAGUUGGCGGGGUAACAGCCCACCAAGGCGACGAUCGGUAGCUGAUCUGAGAGGAUGAUCAGCCACACUGGAACUG
This 255-nucleotide ribosomal RNA is filed under the name uncultured Lysobacter sp. Its description in RNAcentral is "partial 16S ribosomal RNA". It matches the Rfam family "Bacterial small subunit ribosomal RNA", at positions 68 to 321 of the family's 1533-position model. The record is from RNAcentral. Lineage: Bacteria; Pseudomonadati; Pseudomonadota; Gammaproteobacteria; Lysobacterales; Lysobacteraceae.